RNAcentral lists this ribosomal RNA (717 nucleotides) under Linnemannia elongata. Its description in RNAcentral is "eukaryotic LSU rRNA". It matches the Rfam family "Eukaryotic large subunit ribosomal RNA", at positions 92 to 666 of the family's 3401-position model. Lineage: Eukaryota; Fungi; Mortierellomycota; Mortierellomycetes; Mortierellales; Mortierellaceae. The record is from RNAcentral.
AGUGAGCGGGAUGAGCUCAAAUUUAAAAUCUGGCUGGUUUACUAGUCCGAAUUGUAGUUUAUAGAAGCGUUUUCGGUGGCAGCCUGGGUAUAAAUCCUUUGGAAUAGGGUAUCAUAGAGGGUGAGAAUCCCGUCUUUGACUCAGUGCAUGCUACUAUGUGAUACGUUUUCAAAGAGUCGAGUUGUUUGGGAAUGCAGCUCAAAAUGGGUGGUAAAUUUCAUCUAAAGCUAAAUAUUGGCGAGAGACCGAUAGCGAACAAGUACCGUGAGGGAAAGAUGAAAAGAACUUUGAAAAGAGAGUUAAACAGUGCGUGAAAUUGUUGAAAGGGAAACGUUUGACACCAGUUAUGCGGGUGGAAAAUCAGUCUUUUGCAAUGGGGAGUUGUGGGCGUUCAGACCGCAAGGCUGGCGUUUGCUUCAUCUUUGUUGUAAGUGAUGCACUUUUUCAUUUGCAGGUCAACAUCAGUUUGCUUUGCUGGACAAAACCCCAAGGGAAGGUGGCAGCUUAGGCUGUGUUAUAGCCCUGGGGCGAUACAGUGGAGUGGACUGAGGUUUCGCAGUGUGUGCUCUCGGGCAAGGCUGACUGGGUGCUAUGGGAUCGUUCGGCGUACAAUGCAUGCAUUUUGCGUCGUGUCUUUUUUAUACUCGCUCAACUCGGCUCUUCCACACUUAGGAUGUUGACUUAAUGGUUUUAAACGACCCGUCUUGAAACACGGAC